RNAcentral lists this ribosomal RNA (840 nucleotides) under Triticum aestivum (bread wheat). Its description in RNAcentral is "partial small subunit ribosomal RNA". The record is from RNAcentral. Lineage: Eukaryota; Viridiplantae; Streptophyta; Magnoliopsida; Poales; Poaceae.
AUGUCUGCCGUAGUGUGCGGCAAGAGGUCCUCCAUCUUCGCCGACGAGCUCAUCCCUUCCUCUCCGCCUUCCCCUCCCCACCACCACCCUUCCAAGCGGGCCCGCUGCUCCCCGGCCCGCGCCUUCGACGACGCCGCCGCGGCCCACCGGCGGGAGGCGCUGCUCCACCACCUUCGCUCCCUCUUCCCUCACAUGGAUCCCCAGUUGCUUGAAAGAGCUCUUGAAGCAUCUGGAGAUGAUUUGGAUUUUGCAAUAAGGAGUUUGAAUGACCUGCGCCUGGAGUCAGCUGAGGCUAUCUUUUCAGCUGCUGUUGGUGAACCUGAGAAUGGCCUGUCAACAGCCCUUAAGUUAACGGCUGAAGGUAAUGGCCAAUUGGAUGCUAUUAGUGGAAAUCCACCUGCGACAGAUAAUUGUCAGACAAAUCACCAUAGCUCUGAAUGGGUUGAGCUAUUUGUUAGAGAGAUGAUGAGCGCCUCUGACAUAAAUGAUGCACGGGCUCGUGCAUCAAGAGCUUUGGAGGUUAUUGAAAAGUCCAUCAUGGAGCGGACAGGAGCCGAGGCAGUGCAAAACUUGCACAAGGAAAAUACGAUGCUAAAGGAGCAAUUAGCAAUAGCUCUUCGAGAGAAUGCUGUUCUGAAGCGGGGGGUUGCAAUCCAACAUGAGCGCCAAAAAGAGUUUGAUGAUAAGACACAGGAGGUUCACAACCUAAAGCAAUUGAUUUUGCAGUAUCAGGAACAACUAAAGACUCUCGAGAUCAAUAAUUAUGCACUUAGGAUGCAUCUACAGCAGGCUCAGCAGAACAGUUCAAUGCCCGGGCGUUUCCACCCUGAUGUUUGCUGA